Molecule: ribosomal RNA, 267 nt
Filed under: Triticum aestivum (bread wheat)
Lineage: Eukaryota; Viridiplantae; Streptophyta; Magnoliopsida; Poales; Poaceae
Description: partial small subunit ribosomal RNA
Source: RNAcentral
CAGCGCGCUGAGCCGAUCGAGGACCUGCUGGAGCGUCUGGAACUACAAGAGGAUGAGGAGGACCAGUUUGUAUGGGAAGAAGAGUUCCACGAAGAGCAGGUCGCGGCGAAGUGGUUGGCGAUCGCGAAGGUGCACACAGAGAAGGGAUUCAGCCCAUCUGCCUUGUAUGCUGACAUGAGAUCGGCAUGGAACCCGGCGAAAGAACCACGGUGGCGCAAGAUCGAGGACCAUCUGCUCACGGUCCAAUUCGAUUGCUUAGGAGAUUGG